UCUCCGUUGGUGAACCAGCGGAGGGAUCAUUAUUGAGUUACCGCUCUACAACCCUUUGUGAACAUACCUAACUGUUGCUUCGGCGGGCAGAGGUCCCUCGCGGAUCUCUCCCGGCAACGCCCUCACGGGCGGAGCGCCCGCCGGAGGAUACCAAACUCUAUUUUAACGACGUUUCUUCUGAGUGGCACAAGCAAAUAAUUAAAACUUUUAACAACGGAUCUCUUGGUUCUG
RNAcentral lists this unclassified non-coding RNA (231 nucleotides) under plant metagenome. RNAcentral's name for it is "partial contains small subunit ribosomal RNA, internal transcribed spacer 1, and 5.8S ribosomal RNA". The record is from RNAcentral.